This 482-nucleotide ribosomal RNA is filed under the name uncultured bacterium. Its description in RNAcentral is "partial 16S ribosomal RNA". It matches the Rfam family "Bacterial small subunit ribosomal RNA", at positions 29 to 506 of the family's 1533-position model. The record is from RNAcentral.
AUUGAACGCUGGCGGAAUGCUUUACACAUGCAAGUCGAACGGCAGCGCGGGGGCAGCCCUGGUGGCGAGUGGCGAACGGGUGAGUAAUACAUCGGAACGUGCCCGGUCGUGGGGGAUAACGUAGCGAAAGUUACGCUAAUACCGCAUACGAUCUGAGGAUGAAAGCGGGGGACCUUCGGGCCUCGCGCGAUCGGAGCGGCCGAUGUCAGAUUAGGUAGUUGGUGGGGUAAAGGCCUACCAAGCCGACGAUCUGUAGCUGGUCUGAGAGGACGACCAGCCACACUGGGACUGGGACCCGGCCCGAACCCCUACGGGAGGCAGCAGUGGGGAAUUUGGGAAAAUGGGCGCAAGCCGGACCAAGCCAUCCCGGGGGCAGGACGAAGGCCUUCGGGUUGUAAACGGCUUUUGUACGGAACAAAAAGGCUUGGGCUAAUACCUGGGGCUCAGGACGGUACCGUAAGAAUAGCACCGGCUAACUACGU